GACGAACGCUGGCGGCGUGCCUAAUACAUGCAAGUCGAACGAGAGCGACCGGUGCUUGCACUGGUCAAUCUAGUGGCGAACGGGUGAGCAACACGUGGGUAACCUGCCCAUCAGAGGGGGAUAACAUCCGGAAACGGAUGCUAAAACCGCAUAGGUCUUCGAGCCGCAUGGCUUGAAGAGGAAAAGAGGCGCAAGCUUCUGCUGAUGGAUGGACCCGCGGUGCAUUAGCUAGUUGGUGAGGUAACGGCUCACCAAGGCCGUGAUGCAUAGCCGACCUGAGAGGGUGAUCGGCCACAUUGGGACUGAGACACGGCCCAAACUCCUACGGGAGGCAGCAGUAGGGAAUCUUCCGCAAUGGACGCAAGUCUGACGGAGCAACGCCGCGUGAGUGAAGAAGGUUUUCGGAUCGUAAAACUCUGUUGUUAGAGAAGAACAAGUGCUAGAGUAACUGUUAGCGCCUUGACGGUAUCUAACCAGAAAGCCACGGCUAACUACGUGCCAGCAGCCGCGGUAAUACGUAGGUGGCAAGCGUUGUCCGGAUUUAUUGGGCGUAAAGCGAGCGCAGGCGGUUCCUUAAGUCUGAUGUGAAAGCCCCCGGCUCAACCGGGGAGGGUCAUUGGAAACUGGGGAACUUGAGUGCAGAAGAGGAGAGUGGAAUUCCAUGUGUAGCGGUGAAAUGCGUAGAUAUAUGGAGGAACACCAGUGGCGAAGGCGACUCUCUGGUCUGUAACUGACGCUGAGGCUCGAAAGCGUGGGUAGCAAACAGG
Molecule: ribosomal RNA, 767 nt
Filed under: uncultured Granulicatella sp.
Lineage: Bacteria; Bacillati; Bacillota; Bacilli; Lactobacillales; Carnobacteriaceae
Description: bacterial SSU rRNA
Rfam family: Bacterial small subunit ribosomal RNA
Source: RNAcentral